CAGCUCGUGCCGUGAGGUGUUGGGUUAAGUCCCGCAACGAGCGCAACCCUUGUCGUUAGUUACAUUCUCUAACGAGACAGCCUCUCACAAGGAGGAGGAAGGUGGGGAUGACGUCAAGUCAUCAUGGCCCUUAUGUCCUGGGCUACACACACGCUACAAUGGCCGGUACAAUGGGUUGCGAAACCGCGAGGUGGAGCCAAUCUCACCAAAGCCGGCCUCAGUUGGGAUUGCAGGCUGCAACUCGCCUGCAUGAACGUGGAAUCGCUAGUAACCGCAGGUCAGCACACUGCGGUGAAUACGUUCCCGGGCCUUGUACACACCGCCCGUCACGUCAUGGAAGCCGACAAUGCCUGAAGUCCGUGGGCUAACCCUUCGGGGAGGCAGCGGCCGAGGGUGGGGCUGGUGACUGGGACGAAGUCGUAACAAGGUAGCUGUACCGGAAGGUGCGGCUGGAUCACCUCCUUUUAAGGAGA
This 473-nucleotide ribosomal RNA is filed under the name SAR202 cluster bacterium. Its description in RNAcentral is "bacterial SSU rRNA". It matches the Rfam family "Bacterial small subunit ribosomal RNA", at positions 1056 to 1533 of the family's 1533-position model. The record is from RNAcentral. Lineage: Bacteria; Bacillati; Chloroflexota; Dehalococcoidia.